GCAGUAUCCUAACUGUGCUAAGGUAGCAUAAUCAUUAGUCUUUUAAUUGAAGACUGGUAUGAAUGGCUUAACGAGAAAUUGACUUUUUUUACUAUUUAAAUUGAAUUUAAUUUUUUAGUGAAAAAGCUAAAAUGUGUCAGAAAGACGAGAAGACCCUAUAGAGUUUUAUUUCGAUUUACAUUUUUUCUUAAUAGAUUUUCAAAGAAUAAAUUUAAUUAGAUAUUUUGUUGGGGCGACAUUAAGAUAUAAAAAACUCUUUAUUUUUAAAAUUUUUAUAAAAAUAUUUUAUGAUCCUCUAAAAGGGAUCAAAAGAAAAAAUUACCUUAGGGAUAACAGCGUAAUCUUUUUUAAGAGUUCUAAUCGACAAAAAGGUUUGCGACCUCGAUGUUGGACUAAAAUUUAGGCAGGGUGCAGCAGUUCUGCUUUUAGGUCUGUUCGACCUAUA
RNAcentral lists this ribosomal RNA (445 nucleotides) under Cantellius sp. 3 MM-2014. RNAcentral's name for it is "partial 16S ribosomal RNA". It matches the Rfam family "Bacterial large subunit ribosomal RNA", at positions 1933 to 2590 of the family's 2925-position model. Lineage: Eukaryota; Metazoa; Arthropoda; Thecostraca; Balanomorpha; Pyrgomatidae. The record is from RNAcentral.